This 68-nucleotide microRNA precursor is filed under the name Nematostella vectensis (starlet sea anemone). Its description in RNAcentral is "microRNA nve-mir-9439 precursor". Lineage: Eukaryota; Metazoa; Cnidaria; Anthozoa; Actiniaria; Edwardsiidae. The record is from miRBase by way of RNAcentral.
CAUUUAAGCACAGUGCUGGUCUGCCAUUGGAGAUACUGGCCAAGGUAAAGCCAGUAUAUGUUAAAUGU